AGGUAAAUGUUUCAUGAUAAGAAUUUCAUGUCUUUUGUAUUAAAGAAUUAAAUGGAUGAAAUAUGAAGUUUUAUUAAAAGAAAAAGGGGUGAAAAGAACAAAGUUUUGUCCAUCUUUGUUCAUCAUAGCUGAAAGUUAGAGAAGAGAAAGGAGAGGAGAAAGCUCUUGAGUAUUCGGUCAUUAGGAGGAGGAAAAUUGAAGGAAAUCCCCAACCAUAGUAGGCUUGGAGCUGUGAGGGAAUUCGGAGUGGCCACCUGUUCUAAAAGUUUGGUUUUCUUCUGGUGAACUGGACAUUCUUUUAUUUACGUUUGAAGUUUUGGGUUUUUAAAUGUAAUAAGGCCGCUUAAUUAUUUUUUAUGGUUUUAAUAUAUAUUACUAAGAUAGGUAUUACUUAUUUUAACUGUUGAAAUUGGAUAGCUUUAGGGCCCGUUUUCAAAAACAACAAUUGAUUUCAAAAUAACACGACAAUAAGCAAAGCUUCCGCAAUGAAAGUAUUUUCCAAAAUUAAUCACUUUUCCUAAAAAUGACUUAAUCGAAUCGGUUUCCUAGAAAUAUCCAUGACGUUAAGGUGUGGCAAUG
Molecule: long non-coding RNA, 579 nt
Organism: Gossypium arboreum
Lineage: Eukaryota; Viridiplantae; Streptophyta; Magnoliopsida; Malvales; Malvaceae
Exons: 2
Source: RefSeq, a predicted model, not a curated record